GGCGCUUUCAUCUAGGGGUCUAGGAUACGUGCCUCUCACGCAUGUCACACGGGUUCGAAUCCCGUAGGCGCUACCA
This 76-nucleotide transfer RNA is filed under the name Bacteroidales bacterium. Its description in RNAcentral is "tRNA-Glu". It matches the Rfam family "tRNA". Rfam says of the family: Transfer RNA (tRNA) molecules are approximately 80 nucleotides in length. Their secondary structure includes four short double-helical elements and three loops (D, anti-codon, and T loops). Further hydrogen bonds mediate the characteristic L-shaped molecular structure. tRNAs have two regions of fundamental functional importance: the anti-codon, which is responsible for specific mRNA codon recognition, and the 3' end, to which the tRNAs corresponding amino acid is attached (by aminoacyl-tRNA synthetases). tRNAs cope with the degeneracy of the genetic code in two manners: having more than one tRNA (with a specific anti-codon) for a particular amino acid; and 'wobble' base-pairing, i.e. permitting non-standard base-pairing at the 3rd anti-codon position. Lineage: Bacteria; Pseudomonadati; Bacteroidota; Bacteroidia; Bacteroidales. The record is from RNAcentral.